AUUAAACGCUGGCGGCAUGCCUUACACAUGCAAGUCGAACGGCAGCACGGGGCAACCUGGUGGCGAGUGGCGAACGGGUGAGUAAAGCAUCGGAACGUGCCCUGGAGUGGGGGAUAACGUAGCGAAAGUUACGCUAAUACCGCAUAUUCUGUGAGCAGGAAAGCAGGGGAUCGCAAGACCUUGCGCUCUGGGAGCGGCCGAUGUCGGAUUAGCUAGUUGGUGGGGUAAAGGCUCACCAAGGCGACGAUCUGUAGCGGGUCUGAGAGGAUGAUCCGCCACACUGGGACUGAGACACGGCCCAGACUCCUACGGGAGGCAGCAGUGGGGAAUUUUGGACAAUGGGCGCAAGCCUGAUCCAGCCAUGCCGCGUGCGGGACGAAGGCCUCGG
Molecule: ribosomal RNA, 388 nt
Filed under: uncultured bacterium
Lineage: Bacteria
Description: bacterial SSU rRNA
Rfam family: Bacterial small subunit ribosomal RNA
Source: RNAcentral